Molecule: ribosomal RNA, 2769 nt
Filed under: Triticum aestivum (bread wheat)
Lineage: Eukaryota; Viridiplantae; Streptophyta; Magnoliopsida; Poales; Poaceae
Description: partial small subunit ribosomal RNA
Source: RNAcentral
AUGUGUCCUCAUCAUGGUUUAGAAAGAUGGCUGGUGUUACAAACCUUUUACAAAGGACUGUCCACUCAGACCAGAGCUUUUGUCGAUUCGGCUGUUGGAGGAGGAAUCAUGAACAAAACCAUUGAUGAAGCAUUUGCAUUGAUUGAAAGUAUGGCGUCUCAUCAUUUCCAAUGGUCAAGCGAAAGAGCAAUAGCACCACCCCAUCCUGGUGUGUACAAUGUGUCUGCAAAUGAUAGCAUGGCGGCUCAGAUUGACAUCUUAAACAAGAAGAUGGACAGUAUCAUGUCAAAUUGCAUCGGUACAUCUGUAGCUUCAGUAAGUGUGCCUCAAAUGUGUGAUGUAUGUGGCCAAGCAGGUCAUCUUUCAACAGAAUGUACCUUCUAUUCAGCAAUUGGAUCAUCGGUUUUAGAAGUAAGUUAUGCCCAAAGUCAAGGUCCAUUCUCAAACAACUACAAUCCUUCUUGGAGGAACCAUCCAAACUUGUCGUACAAGAACAAUCAGUCAUAUGCAAGUGGAUCGACAGUACAAGGAAAUCGACCACCAAAUCAUCCAAGUCAAUUUCAAGUGCCGAGGCAGAAUGAACAACAAAAUGUUCAGUCAAAUGGAAUGGAGGAAAUCAUGAAAAUGCAGUUGGAAUUGAUGAGCAAGAUGACAAAUGAAGUUAAUGGAUUAAAGGAUACUGUUAAGAUGCUUGUGAGCAAAAUGGAUAGUAUGGUGGGAGAAAAUGAAAAAAGGCUGCCUGCGCAACCAAUUCCAAACCCGAAAGCUCACUGUGGGGCAAUAUCUUCAAUUAAUGCAGUGACUACAAGGAGUGGAGUUAUGUCAGGACCAUUACUUCCUACUCCGAAGACAUAUGUCCCUCCUGCUAUGAGGCCAAGUUCAUCCGGAACUCCACCUUCAACAUCAUCAGAGAAACUAAAGGAGAAAGAAAUUGAUAACCGAAUUGAAACUGAAGUCGAAUUUCCUGGUUUUCAAACAAGAGCUGAGCCUUUGCUAGAGGAAGCAAUAACAACCAACAACAUUCCUUUUUCUGAGCGGUUCAACAAACCCAAAGAUGACAAGCAAUUUGCCAAAUUCUUGGAAACUAUGAAGGGAGUUCAGAUUACUAUUCCUAUUCUUGAAGCUGUCUUGCAUGUUCCAAUGUAUGCCAAAUAUUUCAAGGAACUGCUAACAAGGAAAAGAAGCAUGUCUGAGCCAGAAGUAGUGACUUUAUCAAAGGAAUGCAGUGCAAUAAUUCAGAAUUCCAUGCAUGAAAAAUUGGAUGAUCCAGGAAGCUUUUGUGUACCAUGUGUGAUUGGAAACAAAACUUAUAGUGCUCUGUGUGACUUGGUCUCAAGUGUUAGUGUGUUACCACAUUCAGUUAGCAAAAGGAUGAUCUUGGGAGAAUUAAAUCCAACAGCCAUAACUCUUCAGUUAGCCAACAGAACAUAUAGGAAACCUGUUGGAAUUCUUGAGGAUGUUCCAAUCAAAGUUGGGAAGUUUGCUUAUCCGGUUGACUUUGUAGUGCUAGAUAUAGAGGACAAAAGUGAGGCUGUGAUCCUUGGAAGGCCAUUUUUGGCCAUAGCUGGUGCACUUAUUGAUGUUCAAGAAGCUAAAUUGAGCCUGAGGUUUGGAAAUGAAAAGGUGGAGUUUGACAUGAAGCAUGCAACACAUGUUCCGCAAGGAGAAAAGCACUGCUACAAAAUUAAUACACUACAGAAAUGUGUGGAAGAAGGUUAUGAAGAGAGGUAUGGAAGUAAUUGUUGUGAAGUAGUUGAGGAGGACAAUAGUGAAAUCAGAUAUGAAGAAAUCAGACCUGUGAGCAUAUUGGAAAGCAGUACAAGGCCACUAGAGAAGAUGCAAUCAAGGCAAAUAGAAAUGAAACAACUUCCAGAAAGUUUGAAGUAUGCAUUCUUAGACAAUGACAACCAGUGGCCAAUUAUCAUGAAUAGGGAGUUGAUGGAAAGGCAAAUAAAAGGGCUUCAAGCAGUUUUGCAAAAGUAUAAGGAUGUUAUUGGAUAUUCAAUUGAUGAUAUGAAAGGGAUAAAUCCUGCUGUCUGCUCUCAUAGGAUUUACUUGAAAGAAAGCAGUGUACCAAUUAGAGAAAGUCAAAGAAGGUUGAAUCCCCAUUUGCAAGAGGUUGUAAAAAAGGAGAUUCUUAAAUUGCUCUCUGCUGAUAUCAUAUACCCAAUUUCGGACAGCGAGUGGGUGAGUCCCAUUCACAUGGUUCCCAAGAAAGGAGGAAUAACUGUCAUUGAAAAUGAACAAGGGCAAACGAUUCCUAGUAGGACUGUCACAGGGUGGAGAAUGGUCAAUGAUUUCAGAAAGUUAAAUGAAGUAACAAGGAAGGACCAUUUUCCUUUACCUUUCAUUGACCAAAUGCUGGAAAGGCUUGCUGGGCAUGAAUAUUUCUGCUGCUUAGAUGGGUAUUCAGGAUUCUUGCAAAUCCCAAUUCAUCCGGAUGAUCAAGAUAAAACAACUUUCACUUGCCCAUACGGAACAUUUGCUUACAAAAGACUAGCUUAUGGACUUUGUAAUGCACCCCCAACAUUUCAAAGGUUUAUGCUCUCUAUAUUCUUUGAUAUGAUAGGAACCAAAGUGGAGGUGUUCAUAGAUGAUAUUACAGUCGUUGGAAAAAGUUAUGAGGAUUGCUUGAAUAAUUUGGCAGCAGUUCCUCAGAGGUGUUCAGAACACAAUCUAGUCUUAAACUGGGAGAAGUGUCAGUUUCUUGUAAAGGAAGGAAUUAUUUUGGGACAUUUGGUAUCUGAAAGAGGAAUUGAGGUUGAUUAA